AACGCACCUUGCGCUCCUUGGUAUUCCGAGGAGCAUGCCCGUUUGAGUGUCGUGAUAUCAUCAAGCCGACCCCUCCUUUACUGGUGGGGGUUGCGCUUGGACUUGGAUGUGCUGCCGGACGGCGACGCCCGGCUCAUCCCAAACGCAUUAGCUGGAUUUAUUCCUGGCUUGGACUUUUGUUCUCACUCGGCGUGAUAAUGUCACCCGUCGAGCAGUCCUUGGUCAACGUUGGGUUCCGCUUCCAACCGUCCCCCGCGGACAACACCGAAACCUGGUUUUCGACAUCUGACCUCAAAUCGGGUAGGACUACCCGCUGAACUUAA
This 323-nucleotide ribosomal RNA is filed under the name uncultured fungus. RNAcentral's name for it is "eukaryotic LSU rRNA". Lineage: Eukaryota; Fungi. The record is from RNAcentral.